CAGGAUGAACGCUGGCGGCGUGCCUAAUACAUGCAAGUCGAACGCACAGCGAAAGGUGCUUGCACCUUUCAAGUGAGUGGCGAACGGGUGAGUAACACGUGGAUAACCUACCUCAAGGUUGGGGAUAACAUUUGGAAACAGAUGCUAAUACCGAAUAAAACUUAGUAUCGCAUGAUACCAGGUUAAAAGGCGCUACGGCGUCACCUAGAGAUGGAUCCGCGGUGCAUUAGUUAGUUGGUGGGGUAAAGGCCUACCAAGACAAUGAUGCAUAGCCGAGUUGAGAGACUGAUCGGCCACAUUGGGACUGAGACACGGCCCAAACUCCUACGGGAGGCAGCAGUAGGGAAUAUUGGUCAAUGGGUGCAAGCCUGAACCAGCCAUGCCGCGUGCAGGAAGACGGCCUUCUGGGUUGUAAACUGCUUUUACCAGGGGAUAAAAGGCCCAUGCGUGGGACAUUGAAGGUACCUGGUGAAUAAGCCACGGCUAACUAC
RNAcentral lists this ribosomal RNA (491 nucleotides) under uncultured bacterium. Its description in RNAcentral is "bacterial SSU rRNA". It matches the Rfam family "Bacterial small subunit ribosomal RNA", at positions 25 to 504 of the family's 1533-position model. The record is from RNAcentral.